RNAcentral lists this non-coding RNA (103 nucleotides) under Sulfurovum sp. RNAcentral's name for it is "TPP sequence". It matches the Rfam family "TPP riboswitch aptamer (THI element)". From Rfam's summary of the family: Vitamin B(1) in its active form thiamin pyrophosphate (TPP) is an essential coenzyme that is synthesised by coupling of pyrimidine and thiazole moieties in bacteria. The previously detected thiamin-regulatory element, thi box was extended, resulting in a new, highly conserved RNA secondary structure, the THI element, which is widely distributed in eubacteria and also occurs in some archaea. Analysis of operon structures identified a large number of new candidate thiamin-regulated genes, mostly transporters, in various prokaryotic organisms. The record is from RNAcentral. Lineage: Bacteria; Pseudomonadati; Campylobacterota; Epsilonproteobacteria; Campylobacterales; Sulfurovaceae.
CUCAAUCUCUCGGGGUGCUACUUAUCAAUAAGAUAAAAAGCUGAGAUAACCCGUCGAACUUGAACUGGAUAAUACCAGCGUAGGGAAGAGAAUCGUAUAUCAU